RNAcentral lists this transfer RNA (69 nucleotides) under Camelus bactrianus (Bactrian camel). It matches the Rfam family "tRNA". Rfam says of the family: Transfer RNA (tRNA) molecules are approximately 80 nucleotides in length. Lineage: Eukaryota; Metazoa; Chordata; Mammalia; Artiodactyla; Camelidae. The record is from Rfam by way of RNAcentral. RNAcentral also lists the same sequence under 2 other names.
GAGGGAAUAGCUUAAUAGAGUGCAUGCUUAGCAUGCAUGAGGUCCUGGGUUCAACCCCUAGUACCUCCA